RNAcentral lists this ribosomal RNA (433 nucleotides) under uncultured bacterium. Its description in RNAcentral is "partial 16S ribosomal RNA". It matches the Rfam family "Bacterial small subunit ribosomal RNA", at positions 29 to 507 of the family's 1533-position model. The record is from RNAcentral.
AGCGAACGCUGGCGGCAGGCCUAACACAUGCAAGUCGAACGAACCCUUCGGAGUUAGUGGCGGACGGGUGAGUAACACGUGGGAACGUGCCUUUUGGUUCGGCAUAACUCAGGGAAACUUGUGCUAAUACCGAAUGUGCCCUUCGGGGGAAAGAUUUAUCGCCAUUAGAGCGGCCCGCGUCUGAUUAGCUAGUUGUUGAGGUAACGGCUCACCAAGGCGACGAUCAGUAGCUGGUCUGAGAGGCUGACCAGCCACACUGGGACUGAGACACGGCCCAGACUCCUACGGGAGGCAGCAGUGGGGAAUCUUGCGCAAUGGGCGAAAGCCUGACGCAGCCAUGCCGCGUGAAUGAUGAAGGUCUUAGGAUUGUAAAAUUCUUUCACCGGGGACGAUAAUGACGGUACCCGGAGAAGAAGCCCCGGCUAACUUCGUG